GACGAACGCUGGCGGCGUGCUUAACACAUGCAAGUCGAACGGAAAGGCCCUGCUUUUGUGGGGUGCUCGAGUGGCGAACGGGUGAGUAACACGUGAGUAACCUGCCCUUGACUUUGGGAUAACUUCAGGAAACUGGGGCUAAUACCGGAUAGGAGCUCCUGCUGCAUGGUGGGGGUUGGAAAGUUUCGGCGGUUGGGGAUGGACUCGCGGCUUAUCAGCUUGUUGGUGGGGUAGUGGCUUACCAAGGCUUUGACGGGUAGCCGGCCUGAGAGGGUGACCGGCCACAUUGGGACUGAGAUACGGCCCAGACUCCUACGGGAGGCAGCGGUGGGGAAUAUUGCACAAUGGGCGGAAGCCUGAUGCAGCAACGCCGCGUGCGGGAUGACGGCCUUCGGGUUGUAAACCGCGUUCGCCUGUGACGAAGCGUGAGUGACGGUAAUGGGUAAAGAAGCACCGGCUAACUACGUGC
Molecule: ribosomal RNA, 469 nt
Filed under: uncultured bacterium
Lineage: Bacteria
Description: partial 16S ribosomal RNA
Rfam family: Bacterial small subunit ribosomal RNA
Source: RNAcentral